UACGUAGGGUGCAAGCGUUAUCCGGAAUUAUUGGGCGUAAAGAGCUCGUAGGCGGUUUGUCGCGUCUGCUGUGAAAACCCGAGGCUCAACCUCGGGCCUGCAGUGGGUACGGGCAGACUAGAGUGCGGUAGGGGAGAUUGGAAUUCCUGGUGUAGCGGUGGAAUGCGCAGAUAUCAGGAGGAACACCGAUGGCGAAGGCAGAUCUCUGGGCCUUACCUGACGCUGAGGCGCGAAAGCUAGGGGAGCGAACAGG
Molecule: ribosomal RNA, 253 nt
Filed under: uncultured bacterium
Lineage: Bacteria
Description: partial 16S ribosomal RNA
Rfam family: Bacterial small subunit ribosomal RNA
Source: RNAcentral